This 315-nucleotide ribosomal RNA is filed under the name uncultured eukaryote. RNAcentral's name for it is "partial 18S ribosomal RNA". It matches the Rfam family "Eukaryotic small subunit ribosomal RNA", at positions 1470 to 1796 of the family's 1831-position model. The record is from RNAcentral.
CCCUUAGACGUUCUGGGCCGCACGCGCGCUACACUGACCAGUGCAACAAGCAUCCGUCCUUGGCCGACAGGCCCGGGCAAUCUUUGAACGCUGGUCGUGAUGGGGAUAGACUUUUGCAAUUUUUGGUCUUCAACGAGGAAUUCCUAGUAAGCGCGAGUCAUCAGCUCGUGCUGAUUACGUCCCUGCCCUUUGUACACACCGCCCGUCGCACCUACCGAUUGAAUGGUCCGGUGAAGCCUCCGGAUUGGCGCGCACCUCGGUGCCGCCGAGAAGUUGGCUAAACCUUACCAUUUAGAGGAAGGUGAAGUCGUAACA